RNAcentral lists this ribosomal RNA (478 nucleotides) under uncultured bacterium. Its description in RNAcentral is "partial 16S ribosomal RNA". It matches the Rfam family "Bacterial small subunit ribosomal RNA", at positions 29 to 507 of the family's 1533-position model. The record is from RNAcentral.
AUGAACGCUAGCGGGAGGCCUAACACAUGCCAGCCGAGCGGUAGAGUCUCUUCGGAGACUUGAGAGCGGCGCACGGGUGCGGGACACGUGUGCAACCUGCCUUUAUCUGGGGGAUAGCCUUUCGAAGGGAAGAUUAAUACCCCAUAAUAUACUGGAUGGCAUCAUCUGGUAUUGAAAACUCCGGUGGAUAGAGAUGGGCACGCGCAAGAUUAGAUAGUUGGUGAGGUAACGGCUCACCAAGUCAGCGAUCUUUAGGGGGCCUGAGAGGGUGAUCCCCCACACUGGUACUGAGACACGGACCAGACUCCUACGGGAGGCAGCAGUGAGGAAUAUUGGACAAUGGGUGAGAGCCUGAUCCAGCCAUCCCGCGUGAAGGACGACGGCCCUAUGGGUUGUAAACUUCUUUUGUAUAGGGAUAAACCUAGAUACGUGUAUCUAGCUGAAGGUACUAUACGAAUAAGCACCGGCUAACUCCGUG